Long non-coding RNA from Panicum hallii, 1379 nucleotides. RefSeq lists it as uncharacterized. The transcript is spliced from 3 exons. The record is from RefSeq and is a predicted model, not a curated record. Lineage: Eukaryota; Viridiplantae; Streptophyta; Magnoliopsida; Poales; Poaceae.
UCAAACAAGCCCACAAGCCCACAACUCCUUGCCGGAGCCGGCGACGGCGAACGGCGGCGCCGCGGUCUCUCCGCCGAGCACCCGGCCGCAGCUUCAACGGUUGGGGUCAAUACCAUUGAGGCAGGAGACCACUUCCUGUAUGGUCGGCCUCAAGCAUGCAUUAUAGUCAACACAUCUGCAGGCAAUUUCAAGAACCUUCAGCAUUUGCUCAUCAUGCUCCAUGCCUCGUAGACCUGGAUGAAGGACCUCGAUCUGCUUUCCUUCUGAUGUCAUCUCCUGCACCCACUUCACAAGUUCUUUCGAUGAAGACAAGGCCGUAACAGGUCGUCUUCCUGUGAGCAGCUCGAGCAGGACAACUCCAAAACUGUACAUAUCACCUCUCAACGUCGCAACCCAUCCUUGUGCAUACUCAGGAGGGAUGUAGCCCAGAGUGCCAACUAGCUCAGUUGUGACAUGAGUUUUGUUGGCAAGGACUAAUCUUGAGAGCCCAAAAUCUGCAACAUAAGCCUUGAAUUCUUUGUCAAGUAGGUUGUUACUGGACUUUAUGUCACGGUGGACAAUGUGAGGCUUGCAGAUAUCAUGGAUAUAAGAAAGGCCCCGGCUUGCUCCUUGUGCAAUUUUGAGCCGCAUCGGCCAAUCAAGAAUUGAGCUGGCAGCGUCGUCUCUGUUGUGAAGCCAAUCAUCCAGGCUUCCAUUCUCCAUGUAGGAGUAUACGAGGAGCCUUAAAUCUCCCUGUAUGCAGUAACCCCACAGCGGCACAAGAUUCUCAUGCUGCGCCAUAGAUAGUGCUUCAACCUCUGCUGUGAAUUCCCUUUCCAUGGGGCACAUUUCAUCAUUAAGCUUCUUGAUGGCCAACUUGGUCCCAUCAGGGCUUGCUUUUGGUUAUCAAACUUUUACCCUUGAACGAGGUGAGGAGAUAUACCAGAAGCGAAAGAAGAACAACUCCAAAGAACGCACCAAAUGCAAUCCCAAUAAUGGUUUUCUUUCUGGAUUGCUUUGUCAAGAUUGUUGGCGCUUCUGCUGAGCCACAACUGCGAAGUAAGAUAGGACCACACAACUUUGGAUUCCCUUCAAAGCUGUUAUUUGAGAAUGUACUAAGUUGGCCUCCAUUUGGAAUAGGCCCUUCCAGGUUAUUAUAAGAAAUAUUCAACACAGAGAGAAAGUGCAGGUGGUUCAAUGCUGUUGGGAUUGCACCUGUAAGAUGGUUGCUGGACAAGUCUAGCACUUGCAGAUUAGUUAAGUUGCAGAGUUGCAGUGGUAUGUCUCCUGAUAAGCUGUUGGAGCUGAAAUUGAGUACAGCGAGUGAUUUCAACUGAUCAAUCUCUUGGGGGAUCACACCAGUGAAGUUAUUGUUAGCGAGUUUCAACAAUUUUGGGAUA